Molecule: ribosomal RNA, 497 nt
Filed under: uncultured bacterium
Lineage: Bacteria
Description: partial 16S ribosomal RNA
Rfam family: Bacterial small subunit ribosomal RNA
Source: RNAcentral
GAUGAACGCUGGCGGCGUGCCUAAUACAUGCGAGUCGAGCGAACAGAUAAGGAGCUUGCUCCUUUGACGUUAGCGGCGGACGGGUGAGUAACACGUGGGUAACCUACCUAUAAGACUGGGAUAACUUCGGGAAACCGGAGCUAAUACCGGAUAACAUUUGGAACCGCAUGGUUCUAAAGUGAAAGAUGGUUUUGCUAUCACUUAUAGAUGGACCCGCGCCGUAUUAUCUAGUUGGUAAGGUAACGGCUUACCAAGGCGACGAUACUUAGCCGACCUGAGAGGGGGAUCGGCCACACGGGAACUGAGACACGGUCCAGACUCCUACGGGAGGCAGCAGUAGGGAAUCUUCCGCAAUGGGCGAAAGCCUGACGGAGCAACGCCGCGUGAGUGAUGAAGGGUUUCGGCUCGUAAAACUCUGUUAUUAGGGAAGAACAAAUGUGUAAGUAACUGUGCACGUCUUGACGGUACCUAAUCAGAAAGCCACGGCUAACUACGUG